RNAcentral lists this ribosomal RNA (253 nucleotides) under uncultured bacterium. RNAcentral describes it as "partial 16S ribosomal RNA". It matches the Rfam family "Bacterial small subunit ribosomal RNA", at positions 524 to 776 of the family's 1533-position model. The record is from RNAcentral.
UACGUAGGGUCCGAGCGUUGUCCGGAAUUACUGGGCGUAAAGAGCUCGUAGGUGGUUUGUCGCGUUGUUCGUGAAAACUCACAGCUCAACUGUGGGCGUGCGGGCGAUACGGGCAGACUAGAGUACUGCAGGGGAGACUGGAAUUCCUGGUGUAGCGGUGGAAUGCGCAGAUAUCAGGAGGAACACCGGUGGCGAAGGCGGGUCUCUGGGCAGUAACUGACGCUGAAGCGCGAAAGCCAGGGGAGCGAACGGG